RNAcentral lists this unclassified non-coding RNA (3837 nucleotides) under Hevea brasiliensis (rubber tree). Lineage: Eukaryota; Viridiplantae; Streptophyta; Magnoliopsida; Malpighiales; Euphorbiaceae. The record is from RNAcentral.
AAACAAUGCAAUGUCUUAUAGAGGUCUAGCAAGAACUAAGUACAUCAAUUUUUUUUUCACAAAAAUGCACAAUUCAACUGAUUUCAUAUAUAAAUGAAUGAUAUAAAUCAGGCUAUUAUGACCGCUAUACAGAUGCAUCAACAACCCAGCGCUUAAUCGAUAGAACAACAUAAUAGAGCGAGUAGGAUAAAGAUGCUAGCCUAAUAAAUACACUGGGCAAAGUUUUUUUCAUGAUUCAGAUCCCCCAGUGGACAUUUCAACCAUUGUGCAGGACAUCCAACACCUGAGUUCUCACCUAGAUCUAGUUGCUUUUCUCCACGUUAAGCGUUCUUUUAACACUUGUCAUUUUUUUCCCCUAAACUCUGGUCUCGCCAAUUCUCUUUAACUUGGGCAUCAGAGGAUCCCUGCUUGUGCUUCGUCACGCCCCAAAAGUCUCCGACAUCGUCUUUCUUGUUUUGCAUGUCCCCUCUAAGACCAGAUCGUGGGACCUCUCCUUAUCUCCUUAUCUGUGGAACCAGAUUUUGGCUUCAUUUAUCAUAUAAUAUUAUUUACAAACAUUCAGUUACAGUUGUUGACUAUCUUCUUGAAUGAGCUUGGCUUGAACUCCUUCCACUAACACCUGAUAACUGUUUUAGAUUUGUAAGAGCAUCCUGAGCAUGCCUCUUUGUGUUUGCAUUACCAUGCUUAAAGGCUUCCACCAAAGCCCUAACAAGAGACUGAUUAAGGGAAUGCCGAUGGGAGCAUCCUUCCACCCUCAAUAUUCUAUCUAUUAUCCAAAUUGCCUUCUCUUGGAGAUCUCCAGGUCGAACUUCUGUGAAAAGAACAAUCACAGCAUCAACAACCCCUUGUUGUUCAAGCUCCUCAACAGCUCUUUUACAGCUAUUUGAAGUAUCUGGCACAAGAGUUGAAAGUGUUUCAACGGCAGCAAUUUGAACAUUAGUAUCCUUGUCAGUUAGAAGAUCAACCAGGGGUUUGAUACAAUUGCUCUUUAGCAAGCAUAACUGACUACUUUCAUCACAUGGAACACUGUGUAAUGGACAAGUGGAAGGUUUAGGAGGACCACUCCCACACAUGAAGAUCCAAGAAGCACAAAAUCCGCGGCGAGGUGGUGGUUCUGAUUUAUCAGAAACAAGUAACCUGCCAGCUUCUGAUAAGUUUUUCAAUCCAAGAGCAGCUAGUUGUUUUGCUUUUGGUUUUGAAGGAAAACCAAGCUGCUCACAGAAAAUGGCCAUAAGAUGAUACUCUCUGACCAUACCAAGAGUUUGCUGAUCAAGGUUCUUCGUGAAGUGGAGUAAGAGACCGAGAAUCCCUUCAAUCAUGCUUGGUGCUGGCCUUGAUAUUCUCCCAUUGGCACUCCGGUGCAAGUUUUUGAGAGAAAAAACUGCCCAUCUUACAAAACUAGCUCCUAGGAGUGCUUUCACUUCAUCCUCGGGGAGGGGAAGGUUAGCUAGUAUGCAUGCAGCAUCAGAUCUCUCACCAUCAGUAGAUGUGUCAUCCAUCAGUUUUUCUUUCAACAAAGGAAGCUUAUUACAUGGUUUUAGCUCAUGUAAUAAAUCUUGACCAAAUCUCCCUGAGAGUAAUCUCGUAAUCCUAAAAGCAUUAAUUCGGAGUUCAACCUCAGGAUGCUCAAGAAAUGGUAUAAUGGUUUUGAUGCCAUCACCAAACUUUAUAUGAGUUGUAACUGACUCUGCAGCUUGAGGAGAAGAUGCAAUUCCACAAAGUAUGCGGAGCACAGAAGCUUGACAAUGAGGGGAGACAACAGAUAAAAUCCCUAAAAGACUGAAGAUGAUAGAUUCUGACUGCAUUGAGUGCCCUUUGUUGUCAGCAGAUGCUAAUUCCCAGUGCCCAGGAUUUGAUACUAUGUUAGCUAUUGUUGAAGCAGCCAAUUCCUUAAAUUCUAGUGAAUCAUUCUGAUUUUCAAAAAGAAUGUCUGUAAGAGCUGGAAGUACAGAAGACUCAACAAGAAUGGUUGCAUUAUCAUCCAAACUUGACAGGUUAUACAACGCUUGCAAACUAGGUGCCCUUCCUUCAGGCUUAGACAGUAAUUCAACUAGUAUUUUAGCACUUUGCUGUGCUAUCUGUUCUUUACUGCCAUUUGUUAAGGUCAUCCUUCCCACAAUAGAUGCCAUCUCUAUUUUAACAUCAUCAGAACCUUCACAUAGCCGAGUAAGCAAAGGUUCAAAUCUUCCAGCUGCUGCCAAAGGCUGAAUAUUAUCCUCCUGUCUCUCCAUCCUCUUCAACACCUCUUCUGCAAGCUUUGACAAUGCAGGAUGCUCCAGGUUUCCUGCCAUGCUUGACAGAAGAACUAAUGCGCCCUUUUCUGAUGCAAUUUUAAUACAAUAAGCUUCAUCACUGGUGAACUCAAGUAAUAACUUCACAGCAUACUCCCUCUCUUUCUCGGAACUCCCAAUUAGACCAUGUAUUGCCAAUCUAGUGAUACCCUCUUCAAGCAUAAUUUUCUUACUCUCUUCAUCGUUGAUCAUGCUGAGCAAAGUCAAAAGAGAUUUGGCUCUCAAAAGCGUGCCAAUACUCUUGGAAGAAUUCCUAAGCAACUGAACAAUAAGCACCACCACACCAGCAUUCCUAAUUCUAUAUCUAUUGGAAGGAUGCUCCUCCGAAAUCUUGUAAAUAUUAUCUAAUGCUCGUUCAAUGCAAUCCACCUGGACAGGCUCCUUACUGAGAUCCUCCACUGCAGAUUUAACAUGAACCUCAACAAUUCUAUUAGUCCACUCCUCAAUAGCCCCUGCCAACCCAAUAUUGGGCUUCACCUCCAAGGACUUCAAAACCUGCCCAGUGACUGGACAAGUUGGCUGUCGACCGUCCUCUAUGCAGCGGUGGAACCAAUAGUUGAUGGCUUUCCUCUCGUAAGUCUGAGAAGACUCCAAAACCACAGGCUCCUUCAUAACUUCCUUAGUCAAAGGACAAAGAAAAUUCUUAAGCGGAGAAAUGUGCACAUCCUCUUCAUUAGGAAGGUCCAAAUUGAAGGUAGCAAUGCCAGGGUCACUGGACCAAUUCUCCAGAAUUCUCUCCAAGGAAAACAGAAUUCUCCUUUCUGAUACAGAAUUGGAGAGUGCCAGAUCGCUUUUUAACAGCCUCACUUGCUCUGCUAGUUGUGCAUUAUUUUCAGAAUCAAUGCCUAAAGCUCGAGCAAAAUCCAUUACAAUAGCGCUUUGCACAGCCUUGGUUGUUUGCCUCCCUUGCGCUUCUUUUUCCAAUAAACGAUGCACUCGCUCCUCAUUCUCUGUCACUCUGAAGUGAGCUUGUUUCAUAUCUCGAGAGAGAUCGGCGGUUUUCUUGCGGAGAUCAGAGACGUCGUCAGGGAGAGAGGAUUCUAUUAGUGCCAGCCAUGCGCCAAUUGCAGAGGUGCGGUCCUGAAGAGAGGCACACAGCGAGUGGCAGUUGAUCAAGACGAAGAUCUUGCACCUCUUCCUGUAAAGCGACACAGUUUCCGCAGCCUGGGAGAGAUCGACGGAGAUGCCUUUAAGUGCGGUCUGUACUGACGCAGGAAGGUCCUGAGGCGACGGCGAGGACGACCGAAUAAGCUGGUUGAGUAGGAGCUGGAGACGGCGAGCGUAGCCGGAGAAUUGGCGAGAGUUUUCGAAGGAAUCGGGGACGGUGGAGGAGCAGAGGUCGGAGAGGGAGAGGUGGAUGGAGUCAAUCGCCGCCGAUAUCGGUGGUGAUGACAUCAUGUAGCGGCGAUGGAGAAGAUGUGGGAUCGGAUAAUAAGCAUAUGUGGGUAUGAAUUUGACGAACAGUUGAUUAGCAGUAGGAAGUAGUAAAUGAGAGGAAGAAAUGUAUAAAUUGGAAUUUGUAAUUAGAAGAAUGGAAUCCGUUGAU